GGUGUUGAUAUGAGUUUGUGUUUCGACCACAAAUAAGGUUAGAUCCCAGCAUCU
This 54-nucleotide transfer RNA is filed under the name Atractolytocestus huronensis. RNAcentral describes it as "tRNA-Arg". The record is from RNAcentral. Lineage: Eukaryota; Metazoa; Platyhelminthes; Cestoda; Caryophyllidea; Lytocestidae.